UGCCAUCUGCCUCAUGUUUGGCAGUUACUAUUGCUUCAAUAUACACUGCCCAGUGGGACUGCGAUCAACACUGGAGUUCCUCCGGAGGUGUUUCUUUUCAAUAAAUCCGGAGAGAGGAACGAAAGUUGAGCACAGCAAAAGGAGGAUGUCUUUGCUGUGAACCCAGGAGUCCUCACACUCAUCGCUGACCUUGCAGACCAUGAGUGGACUUGAGUGGACCAUACUUCGUGAGUCAUGUGAUGUGAGGUGUAAUGUUGUUGUAAUGUUGCAGUAUGUAUGAGUGUACACAGUGUAAGAUGUGAACACUUUUUCCAUCUUCAUGUACAGCCUUGCAAAUGAGGUGAGGUGGUUGUUUAUAUUAGAGACUUUUUUUUAUAUGUGUGUAUAUAUAAAUAGCAGAUAACACUGAUAACACAAACAAAAAGCAGGGUUCUGGUUUUAUGCUGCACCACUGUCACAGCUUAAUGAACCUGUGGUGAUUUUACUGUUACAAGUUAAAAGAUCUGAACAGCAAGAACAGUCAGUAGCAUUUUAGCUUUUACUUGCUAUUUCAGAAAAGAUACAGUGCUGCCCACAUCUGUUAGAAAGUUCUUAUUACUGUGCAUUUAUGUCAAUUUCAUGUAGUUCUGUGUAUUCGGUGUGUACACAGUGUUGUGAUAAGUUUGUACAGCCUCACAAGUGUUCAUUAAAUGAAAAAUUA
Long non-coding RNA from Larimichthys crocea (large yellow croaker), 700 nucleotides. RefSeq lists it as uncharacterized. The transcript is spliced from 2 exons. NCBI's taxonomy places the organism in Eukaryota, Metazoa, Chordata, Actinopteri, Sciaenidae. The record is from RefSeq and is a predicted model, not a curated record.